This 490-nucleotide ribosomal RNA is filed under the name uncultured bacterium. RNAcentral's name for it is "partial 16S ribosomal RNA". It matches the Rfam family "Bacterial small subunit ribosomal RNA", at positions 30 to 507 of the family's 1533-position model. The record is from RNAcentral.
AUUGAACGCUGGCGGCAGGCCUAACACAUGCAAGUCGAACGGUAACAGGAAGCAGCUUGCUGCUUCGCUGACGAGUGGCGGACGGGUGAGUAAUGUCUGGGAAGCUGCCUGAUGGAGGGGGAUAACUACUGGAAACGGUAGCUAAUACCGCAUAAUGUCGCAAGACCAAAGAGGGGGACCUUCGGGCCUCUUGCCACCGGAUGUGCCCAGAUGGGAUUAGCUUGUUGGUGGGGUAACGGCUCACCAAGGCGACGAUCCCUAGCUGGUCUGAGAGGAUGACCAGCCACACUGGAACUGAGACACGGUCCAGACUCCUACGGGAGGCAGCAGUGGGGAAUAUUGCACAAUGGGCGCAAGCCUGAUGCAGCCAUGCCGCGUGUAUGAAGAAGGCCUUCGGGUUGUAAAGUACUUUCAGCGGGGAGGAAGGGAGUAAAGUUAAUACCUUUGCUCAUUGACGUUACCCGCAGAAGAAGCACCGGCUAACUCCGUG